RNAcentral lists this ribosomal RNA (376 nucleotides) under Escherichia coli. RNAcentral describes it as "bacterial SSU rRNA". It matches the Rfam family "Bacterial small subunit ribosomal RNA", at positions 595 to 970 of the family's 1533-position model. Lineage: Bacteria; Pseudomonadati; Pseudomonadota; Gammaproteobacteria; Enterobacterales; Enterobacteriaceae. The record is from RNAcentral.
UGAAAUCCCCGGGCUCAACCUGGGAACUGCAUCUGAUACUGGCAAGCUUGAGUCUCGUAGAGGGGGGUAGAAUUCCAGGUGUAGCGGUGAAAUGCGUAGAGAUCUGGAGGAAUACCGGUGGCGAAGGCGGCCCCCUGGACGAAGACUGACGCUCAGGUGCGAAAGCGUGGGGAGCAAACAGGAUUAGAUACCCUGGUAGUCCACGCCGUAAACGAUGUCGACUUGGAGGUUGUGCCCUUGAGGCGUGGCUUCCGGAGCUAACGCGUUAAGUCGACCGCCUGGGGAGUACGGCCGCAAGGUUAAAACUCAAAUGAAUUGACGGGGGCCCGCACAAGCGGUGGAGCAUGUGGUUUAAUUCGAUGCAACGCGAAGAACC